Equus caballus (horse) is the source of this 2031-nucleotide non-coding RNA. The record is from RefSeq and is a predicted model, not a curated record. Lineage: Eukaryota; Metazoa; Chordata; Mammalia; Perissodactyla; Equidae.
GGUACAUGUGUGACGCAGGCAGAAGACUCUGGGUGGAAGGAGGCUCAGCUCAUCCUCACCGGUGGCUGGUGCCUUAAUGAUCCUUCUUGAGCAACGAGAACCACACUGGAGGCACAUUCGAUUCCGUGUGCUUGGCGGAAAAUUUUUAAUUAAAAACCAAUUUAAAUCAUACAGACGGUUCCAUUGGCCAUGUUACUCAAUGCAUGUAAGCCCCUAACCUCACAUCCCAGAGUGGAUGUGAGAUUGGCUGUGACCUGAAUCUGCUGGGUCCUCUGUCAAGCUUGGUUCACAUGUGUCACUAUCAUGAUGUCAUUUCAGAGUCUAAAGAUAAGGGAAGUAUUUUUUGUACAACGCGGCUCCCAUUGUGAACUAAGCCGUGUCCUCCCCCAAAUUCAUCUGUGGAGGCGCUCACCUCCCACGCGGCUGCAUUUGGAAAGAGAGACCGUACAGAGGACCUUAAGGUUAAACGAGGUCAUAAGGGUGGACCAGAGCCCAACAUGACUGAUGUCCUGAUAAGCAGAGCAAGAGAUCCAGGGAGGCUUGUGCGCGGAGAAAAGGCCACAUGAGGACACAAGGAGAAGGCAGCCCUCUGCAAGCCAGGAAGGGCGGCCUCGGGAGGAACCGGACCUGCCAGCACCUUGAUCUUGGACUUUCUAGCCUCCAGAACUGUGAGAAAAUACAUUUCUGUUUUUUAAGUCACCCAGUCUGUGGUAUUUUGUUGUGGCUGCCUGAGCAGAAAAUGCAGCUCCUAAAUGAAAGCCAGCCCUUCAUCUGGAGGUCACACAAAUGAAAGUGGUUCGUUCUGUGGCUAGAGGAGAAAUAGUCUACGCAGGACUCACUGAGAUGUGACAAUAGCAGCUGACACUUCCUGGGAGCCUUCACAUGCCUUACAUGCAAGAACUCAUCCAAAUCUCACAAUACGGUGAGGUGCCUGCUACGAUUACUCCCCCCACAGAGGAUGAUACCAAGGGCGCCCCGCUAGUGCGUGGUGGAGCUGGAGCACGAACCAGGGUGGUCUGGCUCCGACAGCAGGUGCUCAAUAGAUUAUCGGAGAAUUGAAUUAAAAGAAAAGCAGCUCUGUCUGAAUAAAGACAUCGGGGUUAGACAGAAGCUGGAAGAAUUGUCCCUUCUCCCCCCGACAGCAGACAUUGCUGGGAGGCAAUGGAGAGCCGGCUGGAGGUGGCGCCUCGGUGAAUAUUUGCACAAAGUCAUCUGGGAAGGCAUGUUCUGUACCUUAUCUACAGCCAACAGUUUGUCAUCUUCGGCACCAUUGGUGCCUGGAAUGUCCUCAGCUGUUAUCACAUCAACCACCCCGGGGAGUUCAAGGGCCUUGGACAAAUCAACUGAUCUGAAAAGAGAGAAAUAUUUAAGAGAUCCUUUGGGUUUGGGACAUCACAGGAGAAUGGACACAUUCCUCCCGGGGAAUCCCCAGGUGUGCUUUUAAAAGGCUUUUGAAAGCUUUUCAUUUACUUACAUGAUUUUUGCAUGGGCUCUGGUACUGGUCACCAAAGCCAUGAAAAGUUCUUUAUCCACCGUGGGGAUGUCAUCGCAAAAUAUGGCUUCACCUGUGGCAUGUUUGAGACCUGACAGGUGCAUGAUGGGCCGUCCGACUGGAUCCUGGAGGGCUUGGUGAGAGUCCACACUCUGCAGAGGAAGACGUGAGAUGCCCUGGGAGCCUUUAAUCUCAGGAGUGGCCCGGCCAAUCACUGACCCUCCUGACUCGGGAUGGAGAGAUCAACGGUCACCCUCGGGCAACAAACUGGGCCAGAUGAUGAACGUGACAGUUUUAUGAUGUAACUAGACUGGGGACUUGUCAUUUUAGUUAUAUGGCAAUGCCUUCGACAGGGCCAACCUUUUGGCAAAAUUGGGAAGUAGGUGAAGGGGCACCCAGCUUCUCCUUUUGGCAUCUUUCCAAGUGGGGACCCUGGACCCCUUUCUGCUGGCACUCAGAGGGUCUCCCUGUCCUGCUUUCUUGCCUUUCCAAUGAUCAACCUAUUCAACUAUAAAGCGAUCAUGAUGAUGAGGCCUAAA